AAAAGUUACUAAGGGCACACGGUGGAUGCCUUGGCACUGGUAGGCGAUGAAGGACGUGGUUACCUGCGAUAAGCCUCGGAUAGAUGGAAGCAAUCUUAGACCCGGGGAUUUCCGAAUGGGGCAACCCAAUGCGAGUAAUGUCGUAUUACUAUGCACUGAAUAAAUAGGUGCAUCAGAGCAAACUCAGGGAACUGAAACAUCUAAGUACCUGAUGGAAAAUAAAACAAUAGUGAUUUCCGGAGUAGCGGCGAGCGAAAUGGAAACAGUCUAAACUUUGUGGUGUGUUAAAGACUCGAAUCGUUGCAUCACAGGUGUUGUGGGACUUUCAGAUCAAUUUCGAGUAGAUCAAAGAGUACACUGAUUCGUUAGCUGAAUCGUUUUGGAAAAUACAGCCACAGAGAGUGAUAGCCUCGUAAGCGAAAACGAUAGGCUCUUGAAAGUAUCCCAAGUACCACGGACUAAGUGAAAUUCUGUGGGAAUCCGCGAGAACCAUCUCGUAAGACUAAAUACUAACCAGUGACCGAUAGUGAACAAGUACCGUGAGGGAAAGGUGAAAAGUACUCCUGACAGGAGGGUGAAAUAGUACCUGAAACCGUGUGCUUACAAACGGUAGGAGCCACCUUGGAAGAGCUUGCUCUUCAAAGGGGUGACUGCGUGCCUUUUGCUUAAUGAACCAACGAGUUGCUCGUAUCAUGCCAGGGUAAAUUCUUAAGGAAUGCACCCGCAGCGAAAGCAAGUCCUAAAUGGGCGAUUAGUAUGAUGCGGCAGACGCGAAACUGUGUGAUCUAGUCAUGGCCAGGAUGAAGCAAGGGUAACACCUUGUGGAGGUCCGAACCGGUGCGGGUUGAAAACUGCUCGGAUGAGCUGUGACUAGGAGCGAAAGACCAAUCAAACUCAGAGAUAGCUCGUUCUCUCCGAAAUAGCUUUAGGGCUAGCCUCGGAUAAUAGUAUGACGGAGGUAGAGCACUGAUUGGGGUAGGGCUGUCACAACGGUACCAAACCCAGAUAAACUCCGAAUUCCGUACAUAUGUUUUCCGGGAGUCAGGCAGUGGGGGAUAAGCUUCAUUGCCAAGAGGGGAACAACCCAGACCACCAGCUAAGGUCCCCAAGUCUAUGUUAACAGACUAAGGAUGUUAAGUUGCUGAGACAACUAGGAUGUUGGCUUAGAAGCAGCCAUUCAUUUAAAGAGUGCGUAAUAGCUCACUAGUCAAGCGACUUAGCGCCGAUAAUACUCGGGACUCAAACAUAGCACCGAAGCUGUGGACUCAGUAAUGAGUGGUAGGAGAGCAUUCUGUAUGCAGCGAAGGUUCACGGACAACGUGGGCUGGAGCGUACAGAAACGAAGAUGUUGGUAUAAGUAACGAUAAACAAAGUGAAAAACUUUGUCGCCGAAAAUCUAAGGUUUCCUGAGCAACGUUAAUCGUCUCAGGGUUAGUCGGGUCCUAAGCUGAGGCCAAACGGCGUAGGUGAUGGAUAACAGGUUAAUAUUCCUGUACCGCCGAAAUUUAAACCGGAGGGACGCAGAAGUGAAAGGAGAGCCACCUGAUGGAUGGUGGUCUAAGGGCGUAGGAGCAAUCUGAAACCCGAACGGGAUGGCGCAAGCCUACAAACUCUCCCUAAUCAGGCUGCCAAGAAAAGCUCCGGCGUAUACUAAGGCGCCCGUACCGUAAACCGACACAGGUAGAUGAGAUGAGUAUUCUAAGGCGCUCGAGUGAGCCGUGGUUAAGGAACUCGGCAAAUUAACCCCGUAACUUCGGGAUAAGGGGUGCCCAAUUAUUUGGGCCGCAGAGAAAUGGGCCAAGCGACUGUUUAACAAAAACACAUGUCUAUGCUAACCCGUGAAGGGGAUGUAUAUGGACUGACACCUGCCCGGUGCUGGAAGGUUAAGGAGAGAGGUCAUGGCGUAAGCCGGCAGCUUUGAACCGAAGCCCCAGUAAACGGCGGCCGUAACUAUAACGGUCCUAAGGUAGCGAAAUUCCUUGUCGGGUAAGUUCCGACCU
RNAcentral lists this ribosomal RNA (2000 nucleotides) under bioreactor sludge metagenome. RNAcentral's name for it is "bacterial LSU rRNA". It matches the Rfam family "Bacterial large subunit ribosomal RNA", at positions 1 to 1989 of the family's 2925-position model. The record is from RNAcentral.